RNAcentral lists this non-coding RNA (197 nucleotides) under Coprobacillus sp. RNAcentral's name for it is "T-box sequence". It matches the Rfam family "T-box leader". Rfam says of the family: Uncharged tRNA acts as the effector for transcription antitermination of genes in the T-box leader family. T-boxes are found upstream of many aminoacyl-tRNA synthetase genes and some amino acid biosynthetic genes usually in Gram-positive bacteria. Lineage: Bacteria; Bacillati; Bacillota; Erysipelotrichia; Erysipelotrichales; Coprobacillaceae. The record is from RNAcentral.
AUAAAUACGAAGAAUGGAAGAUGUUAAAGCAAAACAUUUAGAGAGCUGAUGGCUGGUGAAAAUCAGUAUGUUAAACUUUAAGAGAUGGCCCAGGAGUAGUUAUUUCAAAUAGUUAGAAAUAAUCGUUAACUGCGUUAAAGUUUUGAGUGACACAGCAAUGUGUAAAAAAGGUGGUACCGCGAUUAUUCGUCCUUUUA